GGCGCUCGGGGCCGGGGCGCUCCUGCCUCUCGCCCCUGCAGGGCGGGGGUCGGCGGGUCCGGGGCACGCGCUUCAGCGGCACAGGAUGCGGUCGUCCGCGGGGACACACGCCGCCUGUGAAACAAACGGAGAGAGAAGAGCUCCAUUUUACAGACGAGAGAAACUGAGGCCUGGGUGGAGAAGCGGCCGGCUCUGGGUCGCCCAGAGAGCCUGGGCUUCUGGAUCCCAUUGGAAGACGACCUCUGGGACCCUGAUCUCCCGAAUACUGGGUCCGAAAUGAAAGCGGGUCCUCCUUCUAACACUCUGAA
Long non-coding RNA from Pipistrellus kuhlii (Kuhl's pipistrelle), 308 nucleotides. RefSeq lists it as uncharacterized. The transcript has 2 exons. Lineage: Eukaryota; Metazoa; Chordata; Mammalia; Chiroptera; Vespertilionidae. The record is from RefSeq and is a predicted model, not a curated record.